Molecule: non-coding RNA, 72 nt
Organism: Nematostella vectensis (starlet sea anemone)
Lineage: Eukaryota; Metazoa; Cnidaria; Anthozoa; Actiniaria; Edwardsiidae
Source: Rfam
GGCGUGAUCGUAUAGUGGUUAGUAGAUUGCGUUGUGGCCGCAGUAACCCAGGUUCGAUUCCUAAUCACGGCA